GAUGAACGCUGGCGGCGUGCCUAAUACAUGCAAGUCGAGCGAACGGACGAGAAGCUUGCUCCUCUGAUGUUAGCGGCGGACGGGUGAGUAACACGUGGAUAACCUACCUAUAAGACUGGGAUAACUUCGGGAAACCGGAGCUAAUACCGGAUGAUAUUUUGAACCGCAUGGUUCAAAAGUGAAAGACGGUCUUGCUGUCACUUAUAGAUGGAUCCGCGCUGUAUUAGCUAGUUGGUAAGGUAACGGCUUACCAAGGCAACGAUGCGUAGCCGACCUGAGAGGGUGAUCGGCCACACUGGAACUGAGACACGGUCCAGACUCCUACGGGAGGCAGCAGUAGGGAAUCUUCCGCAAUGGGCGAAAGCCUGACGGAGCAACGCCGCGUGAGUGAUGAAGGUCUUCGGAUCGUAAAACUCUGUUAUUAGGGAAGAACAUAUGUGUAAGUAACUGUGCACAUCUUGACGGUACCUAAUCAGAAAGCCACGGCUAACUACGUG
This 497-nucleotide ribosomal RNA is filed under the name uncultured bacterium. Its description in RNAcentral is "partial 16S ribosomal RNA". It matches the Rfam family "Bacterial small subunit ribosomal RNA", at positions 28 to 507 of the family's 1533-position model. The record is from RNAcentral.